AAGGCGAUCCAGUACGCGUAAUUCCAACUCUUCAUAUUUCAGGUCAUUCACCUUGAAUAAUUGAGGGAUGACCUCAUUUAAUCUCCAGUAGCAUUUUGACCUGUUAUGGGAGGAGUUAUGCGUCUGGAUCGUCUUAC
Molecule: small RNA, 137 nt
Filed under: Franconibacter helveticus
Lineage: Bacteria; Pseudomonadati; Pseudomonadota; Gammaproteobacteria; Enterobacterales; Enterobacteriaceae
Description: Yersinia sRNA 155(RyfD)
Rfam family: Yersinia sRNA 155(RyfD)
Source: RNAcentral